RNAcentral lists this long non-coding RNA (7343 nucleotides) under Triticum aestivum (bread wheat). RNAcentral describes it as "long non-coding RNA (TAES_LNC020620)". The record is from RNAcentral. Lineage: Eukaryota; Viridiplantae; Streptophyta; Magnoliopsida; Poales; Poaceae.
UUUUUUUUUCGUGACUAUGUGGUCUGGAAACUGAAGAAGAUGACCUUUUCUUUGCUUCCAGAGUGGUUUGUCAAUCUCAAAUCCUUUUCUAGACCUUUCCAUUUCCACCUUGGACCUAAUCCCAAUAUUCUUUUUCUAGAGAAUAUUCUUCCUUUUAUUAAAGGAAUAACCCAAUUUGCCCUAGGUUGUGAAGCAAUCUAUAUUUUUAUCACUCCCAAAAAUUCCCAAAUAAUUCUCAUAAAUUGUUUGGGUCAUAUCUUCCUCAAAUAUGGAAAAAUAUUUCAUUGGCCAUGUUUCCCAUCAUGCUCAAUUAAUUCCUUUCCUAUUCUGUCCUAUGCUCAAUUAAUUCCUUUCCUAUUCUGUCCUGAAUGGCAGUUGUGAAGCAAGUGUCAAUUAUCUUUACCCUAUUGACCCCAAACUUUUUGGACACCUAUUCAUGUCCAAAUAAUUGUCUCAUGCCAAAAUUUAACUUAAUUUGUCUAGUAAAUAUUCCUGAGCAAUUUUUUAAAGUUCCCGUCUAAGGGAAUUGAUUGUGAAGGAAGUACAGGCUAGACAUAUCCAAAUGAGUUGAAAUUUUGCAAGGUCCUUCAGAUGAUCAAAUAAUGACUCUUCAUCAAAUAUGAGCUCAUAUAACUCAACUAUGUGAGCCCAGCCCCAAAUCUUAGUUUCUGGUCAGAUUUUCAGUUUGUGAAGCAACCAUAUUUUAUAUUGCUUCAUUUAAGCUGAAAAUUUACUAGGGCAUUCUCCUAUCCAUAUAAACUCUCCCCACCAAGAUUUAGCUCAAUCCAUUACAUCAUUUGCUUUGUGCAAUUUUUCUAAGUUUCUGUCCAGAGCAAAGCUAUAUGAAGCAAGUGCUAUUUUGGUUCAUCCAAAUAACAUGAAACUUUUUGAGCAUCUUCAUAUCUUCAAAUCAUUGGGCCAUGCCCAAUUUCAAAUCAACUUGCCUCUUCAAAUGAGUGCAUCAUCUAAAUCACCUAAUCUGGCCAGUAUGGCAGUUUCUACAGCAAUCCUCAGCUAAACCUCUCCUCUUAGUCUGAUUUUUGGUAACCAGAAUCACCUUAGUGAUUAAUCAUGCUAUGCCAAAUCUCAGAGCCUAAAUCCUCUCAUGUGAACCACGGAGGGCAACAAACACCUUCCCGUUGAUCUGCUUUGGAGCUAGGUGCAAAUCUCUUCUUUGCCCCUGGACCCAAUUAUUUCUUCAGAUAGAUUAAGGGCACCAUGGACUUUCUGCUAGACACCAAUUUGGGCGCCAGUGAGCAUUGAAUGCCCAGGGUCACGCGGUGACCACUGCCCUGGCAUGCCAUGGCCGCGAGCUGGGUAGUGUUUUGCUCGGGCCCCUCCUCCUCUCGUCGUCUUCGCGCUCGUGAGCAUGUCCAACAGGUUCCCCGCGUCGUCGCCGUCCUCCUGGAGCCAUCUUCCCCUCCAUAAGCCUUUCUGUCAGCGCUCGUCGUCGUUCGCCCACGGGAUCACUGUGUCCGACAGCGUUUUAAUGGCGCUCGGCCUCUUCCUCUGCUCCCACUUGGCUCCUGCUGCCCCGUGCUCCUCUGUAGCUCGUCUGUUCUCCCCUCGCCGCCUUCCCCGCGCCUCCCCGUGAUCACUGCCGUCGCCAGGGCCUCGGCCGGACGUGCCUGGCAGCACCCGAGCUCGUGCCUCUUGCCCCGGCUAUAUAUAGCCAUCCCAGUGGCCUCCCGAGCUCAUCAGCCUCCUCUCCUCCCUUCUCUAGACCUCCCCAGCCUCUCACCCGAGCUCGAGAGCCUCUCCUCGACCCCCAUGGCCACCGUGCCCGCCGUCGGCCUCGGCCUAAAUUGGCUCAGCACCGGCCUCCCUUCCUCAUAAUUUCACCACCAGAACCACCACCGCACUCCGGCGACCAUCCCCACCUACUUGCCUUGUCACCGAAGCCACGUUUGGCCACCGCCCCACGAACGUCCGCCGCCACUCCGUCCUCUGUUGUCUCCAAGUCGCGGCCGUCCUAGCUUUCCUCGGUGUUCGUUAUCUCUUUGAAUGGAAGCGGCGUGGCCUCCCAAGCCCACCGGUGGCUCCGCCCUCGCCGAAGAUGGCCGGAGCCGGCCGACCCGUCGCCGGUGACGCGCCUUCCCCUGCCUCCGCUGUCACGUGCGGGAGCAGGGCGAGGAAGAAGACAGAGGCCAGGCGGGCCCACUCCCCACGCGACCCCACCUGGCAGCCACACGCGUUGACCCCGCCCCUGCCACGUCGGAUAAGUGGCGACGUACUUCCAAUGAGUACGCUUUCUAUUUCUGGAAAGCGUAUUUUGCUUCUCCAUCAGGCAGAGUGCGUUUUCUUUUAUUGAAAGCGUAUUUCUCUCUGUUUCAGUCUAGAAUAUGUUUCUCCGAGGCAAAGGCGUAUUUCCGGAAGUGCGCGUUUUGUUUUUCCGGCUGAGGGCUUGUUUGUGAUGAUUUUAUUUACAAAUGGGUCCUUGGCAGAAAAGCAACUAUAUCUUUUUGCUCGUAACUUCGAUUGAGGUGAAUCCAAAGCCCACUUCUUCGUUUCGUCGAGCCCGUUUCGAUGGAAUCAUUUUCACCAUGUUUUGAAAUUUUGAAAAUGAUCAGUUUGCCCUUGCCCCUAAUCAGGCCCCUUUGGGAGAGAAACUUUUCCGGCGAUUCCUUUCGCGGUCUUUCCACACUUCUCCCCGGAGCCUUCUUCAUCCCCAGGCAAGCCACAAUACCCACUUGCAUGAUAGUCAUGCAGUAGCCAUGGUUUUUAACUUGAAUAUUUAAUCAAUGUUUGCUCGUUUAAAAUAUGGUUACCGUUGUUCCGGUGAUGCUUAGAGUUUCAUGUUCACUCUCGUGCUAUGUUGUCUUGCACUUGGUUAUCAUGUAUUCCUGCUAGUAUUCCUUUCAUAUGCUUAUGCUUGCUAGUAGUACAUGUUGAUGUCGGUGAUGGUCUUCGGUGCAUGACUAUCAUCUGUUCCGAGUGCCGUCGUUAUGCAUGUUCCAUUGCAUCCCGUUGGUUAAAUGCCUGCAUGGUAGCAUUGUUGAUAUGUUGUUGCAUGAUAUUUAUUGUUGAUGCUAGUGGUCAUGCUAUGUUUCUGAGAAGUGUAUACUUGUGAUGUUCAUGCUAGUCAGUAUGCCAUGCUCAGUCAGAUAUAUGAUUUGUUGUUGUAUUGUUAAGAAGUAAUGAUGCCCAACCAUGCUUAUGUUGAUGUCAUACUCAUGUAUUGUAGUUCCAUCAUGUUAUUUUCAUACGACUCGGCUUAUUGCAUUCAAGUUUAAUCGACUUAAUUGAACUUGAACAACUGUUGGCUGAGUCAUGGUGCCACUAUAUCGGGCUGACAAGUGCAACCACAUUUGACUUUAUGGGGAGGCUGGUAGUCGUCCGUUGUCAUGCCUUUUGUCGGUGCCUCCAACGAGGUAAGGUUAUGGGCAUGUGUUACACUGGUUACACUGGCCGGUAAGCAGACAUAACCUUGUGAACUCGUUGUUGUUAUGGUACAGUGUCCCCGUUUGAGACUGUUUAUUUGCCACGACGGUGGUAGUUUUGCCUUUGGUAGGCUGGGCCACCCAGGACUAAGCCCAGUGGGGAGUUGGUCGGAGUGGCCAUAAGAGUGUCAUGGCAAUGGGUGAAUUCUGUCGGAAUGCCGUUGGUCCACCCGAAUGGGAGUGCGAGGCCAUGGAUUUCGUGGUGUGGGUAAAGUGCGCUACCUCUACAGAGUGUAUUAAAUUUAUCGAUAGCCGUGCCCGUGGAUAAGGGCCCAAUUUGUGUCCGUCACACUAUGGGUCAACAGUAAUAAUAAUAACUUGCUUAACAACAACCCUUGUUCGAUGAUGAGAAAGAGAUUGGUUGUGAUCAAGAGAGGAUCACGGAGGUAUCGUGGAUACCAGAGUUGGUUGAUCAUUAUGUGAUCGUGAGAUGAUCACCGUGAUAUCGAGGAUACCGAGUUGUUGGAUAUUCGUGAUGUGUGGGUAUCAUGGGUAAAGAUCAAGCUUCUUGUGGUCAUUUAAUGAUUACUAUGGCAUUGUUUAUACCAAACUUGAUUUGAUUCUGAGAUGAUCGUGUGAUGUCCGAGGCUGGUAAAUGAUGCAUAUGAUGGUUAUGAGAUAACCCGAGCAGAAUAAGUGGCGUAUAUAACGUCGUCAGGUUGCAUGAUAGUAUCAUCAUGUUCAUAUGUUCAUUCCAUGCUCAUAUUGUUCUAGCUGUAUCAUGUUCAUGUUGGUCAUGCCAUGUUAUUCUGAUGAUCUCAUGAUAAUCCCUGCUUAACCUGCAAUUGUCAUGCUGUUGUUUGUCUUGGAUGUUUCUGGUUAUUGUGAGCUUGCAAGUACAUUCAAUAUAUUGACCUGGUGUGUCAUGCCAGUUUGCAGGUCAUGCCGGAAUUGAUUGUUUGUUUGCCGUGGAUCCCUUGUUCGCGAGUUAGGAUAAGCGUUCCAGUCAGAGUCCCUGCGUAGUGGAGUUCGUUGUUCCGCUACUAGAAGUUAUUCUGCUGUUUCGAGUUGUUUUGCUGCUUGCAUAAAGUAACAGUGGCAAGCGUAGUGUCGUCGUGCCGAUGUAAUUUCUCGUUAUAUUAGAACCCCUUGUACCCAAUAUAGAUUGUAAUAAAGAGCUGAUUUGUUCUAUACUAAGUAGUGCCGUAUUUCAGAAGACUUCUUCUCUAUUUCUGGUCUGGAAUACGGAACGAUCCGGUUUCUCUUAGCCGGGGUUGUCACAUUUCUUGUAUUCACGCAUCUUCUGUACUCAGUUCAACACGACCAAGGGCAAGCAGCGCUUCACCACCAUCCGCACUCUAAGCCAUAGGCUGAGGAUGAAAUUAGAGCCGUCACUCCACACCGAGUGAGUGAUUACGAUUGUCACACCAUUUGCAGAGCAGUAAGGAUCCGUGCACCUCACAUGUUGGAUAUUGGCAUUUGUAUCUGAAACAGAAAAAUGGUGUUAUGAUUUACGCAACCUGGGGCACCACCACAGAUGGAUCCGAUAGCAUGUGUUGGCACGUUGCAGCCUACCCCAUUCCUGUAGAGGCUUGCCGAUGCAGAAACAUCGAAGUUGUAGUGUUGCCUGAAAUGUGCCACUCACAUGCUCCAUCUGAAAGUAUAUGUCAGAAACAAGUAGUAGUAUUUUCUUUUUUGACAACAUGUGACCUCCACAAUUUUAGCAGCAUAUCUCAUAUUGAGAUAUGCAAUACUUACUUUUGAUCCCUUUUGUAUCAGAACUAGGGUAAUAUGCCGCUUCUGAAACGAUGAAGUUUGCAUCUACAAACACCAUGGAGAGGAAAGGCAGCAGAAAAAACAUAGAUGUGAGAUGACAAUGAAGUGGAAGAGCCAUUUGUGAUAAGGGGAUGCAGCAACAAGUUUUGGAAAUGGUGCAUGCAAGAGGAAGAUGGAACCAUGUAUGUUUAUAGCCGCUGUGGGUUUCUCAUGAGUCUAAGAUUUGGAAACCUUUGCCCUUCGGUUUUGAAUGGCUGAAACAUGGGAUUGGAGACAUUUUUCUCUCUGGUGUAUAUGUACCUGCAACUUCUUGUUCAUCCUAUGCUGUAUAAGCUGUAGUUCAUGUAAAAUAGUAUUUUGACCUUUUGCACCUCUUUGUACUAUAUACUUAUUCGGCCUGUUUGAAGAUAUUGUUGUGGGCUGGUGGAUUGACAAUGUCCGAUGACUCCGUCCCAAAUAGAAAGGCCAUGGCCUCGCUCACAAUGCUUGCAUCAUGGACAAUAUGGAAUAAAAGGAACACAAGAGUCGUUCAUCACAAGAGCACCCCACCGAUGAUCCUUCUUCAUAAUAUAAAGAAUGAAGCGAAGCUUUGGGUCAUUGCCGGGGUGAAAAAGUUGGGAUUAAUCUAUGCCAUUGCCGGCACGAAAAAGUUGGGAUUAAUCAAUGCCGGGGUGAAAAAGUUGGGAUUAAUCAAUGCCAUUGCCGAGGCGAAAAAGUUGGGAUCAAUCAAUGCCAUUGCCGGGGCGAAAAAGUUGGGAUUAGUAAUGUCGGGGGAGUAAUGACUAAAGACCUAAUGUAAUAUAUUUGGGGCCAUGGGCCAUGUAACAAGCUCCAUUCCCUCUUAAUUAAUGAAUGAGGCAAAAAAAAACUACCUCCAUUAAAAGAAGAUAUUGUUCUCGAACUAGAAUCUAGAGCAAGAAAGAUCUGUAGGGAAGGUGGAACUCAGACUGAAAUGCACCCGGAUGAAAGAUAACAUUGGAAAAACUACUCAUACAAGCACACACUCCCUCCUUCCCAAAUUAAGUGUUUGUACGACUGUAUUUUGGUACCGAGGAAUUACUUUACGUGAUAGAUAAUGGACAAUACUUGUACAUGGAACAUAGAUAAUGGGCAAUACUUGUACAUCGAACAGAUUUGGAGCAGGGUAGUUAGCACAAUUCAGUCAUUCAUACUUCUACAUCGAACAGAUUUGGAGCAGGGUAGUUAGCACAAUUCAAUCAUUCCAAACGUGCCUUCAAAACCAGCGAAUUCCUGCAUGGUUUAGGGGCUGUUUGAAUUGUGACUAUAUUUGUCAUAUAUUGCCACAUUAUUUUUGCCACACUUGCCUAACUUAAUUGCUCAAAUUGUUAGCUACACUUUGGCUUGUCUAAGGGAACCUUACCACACCUUUUGUGUCUAUGACAAUGUGGGAUUCACUUCUCAUAAUUAUUAUUUUUGCCUUAGAUGUGGUAGAACCAAACACCCACCUAACUUGAUCAAACUUGCCUAAGAUGAGGUGUGGCUAAGGCCCUGUUCGGCCAUCCUCCACGGAGCGGAGCGCGCGGAGCAGCGUUUAAUCAACUCCGCAGAUUAUAACUGGAUUGCCGCUCCGCUCUGGCGCGGAGCCGAGGGAAUCCGAACGCGGCCUAAAUGUGGCAAGAUAUGGCUAGAAACCAAACAGCCCCAGUUGCCAAUGGCCUCGUGCACCAAGGUUAAGAGAUUAGGAAAAAGAUGGGAGCUUGGAAAGGAGGAAAUACAUUGACCAUGAUUUGGGAACUAGAGGGGCUACAAAUUAGUUUACUCGUUGAAGCCAUCUCUCCCUUUUGCCAACGACCGUAUGAUGUUAGGCAAGCGGUCAACUUGCUGCUUCCAAGUCCCAGUUAGAGACACACGACAUAAGAUAUGACCGUUGGGAGAAAACAGGAAUGCAAGUUCCAGUUAUUAUUGCAAGUACCUCAUCAACUUCAAAUGUGACAGACAGGGAGCUGCGAGCCUAUCCCGCACUACCUAGUGUACCUCUGACAGCAUUAGACAACUAAAAACUGGGACCGGUCUUGUGUUCUAUCACGUGAUCGAUCGCAUUAAAACAAUCGUGAGACUCAAUGCUCGUAGUGGAGGUGGCUAUAUUUCCAAAGAUCGAAAGAAUAGCCUAAGGUAAAUUGCACAUGAUGAAUGAGCAUGUAUUUUACAGCAUGAGUAGAAUUCUAG